This 171-nucleotide unclassified non-coding RNA is filed under the name soil metagenome. RNAcentral's name for it is "partial internal transcribed spacer 1". The record is from RNAcentral.
CAGAGUUGCAAAGCUCCCACUAAACCAUUGUGAACGUUACCACACCUAAGUUGCUUCGGCGGGCGGCCCGGGUCCUUCCCGGCGCCCCUCGGCCCUCGCGGGCGCCCGCCGGAGGUAAACCAAACUAUUGCAUUGUAUGGCCUCUCUGAGUCUUCUGUACUGAAUAAGUCA